Molecule: ribosomal RNA, 851 nt
Filed under: Pyrenophora avenicola
Lineage: Eukaryota; Fungi; Ascomycota; Dothideomycetes; Pleosporales; Pleosporaceae
Description: partial large subunit ribosomal RNA
Rfam family: Eukaryotic large subunit ribosomal RNA
Source: RNAcentral
CAACAGGGAUUGCCCUAGUAACGGCGAGUGAAGCGGCAACAGCUCAAAUUUGAAAUCUGGCUCUUUCAGGGUCCGAGUUGUAAUUUGCAGAGGGCGCUUUGGCUUUGGCAGCGGUCCAAGUUCCUUGGAACAGGACGUCACAGAGGGUGAGAAUCCCGUACGUGGUCGCUAGCUAUUGCCGUGUAAAGCCCCUUCGACGAGUCGAGUUGUUUGGGAAUGCAGCUCUAAAUGGGAGGUAAAUUUCUUCUAAAGCUAAAUACUGGCCAGAGACCGAUAGCGCACAAGUAGAGUGAUCGAAAGAUGAAAAGCACUUUGGAAAGAGAGUCAAACAGCACGUGAAAUUGUUGAAAGGGAAGCGCUUGCAGCCAGACUUGCUUGCAGUUGCUCAUCCGGGCUUUUGCCCGGUGCACUCUUCUGCAGGCAGGCCAGCAUCAGUUUGGGCGGUGGGAUAAAGGUCUCUGUCACGUACCUCUCUUCGGGGAGGCCUUAUAGGGGAGACGACAUACCACCAGCCUGGACUGAGGUCCGCGCAUUCGCUAGGAUGCUGGCGUAAUGGCUGUAAGCGGCCCGUCUUGAAACACGGACCAAGGAGUCUAACAUCUAUGCGAGUGUUUGGGUGUCAAGCCCGAACGCGUAAUGAAAGUGAACGGAGGUGGGAACCCGCAAGGGUGCACCAUCGACCGAUCCUGAUGUCUUCGGAAGGAUUUGAGUAAGAGCAUGGCUGUUGGGACCCGAAAGAUGGUGAACUAUGCUUGAAUAGGGUGAAGCCAGAGGAAACUCUGGUGGAGGCUCGCAGCGGUUCUGACGUGCAAAUCGAUCGUCAAAUUUGGGCAUAGGGGCGAAAGACUAAU